GGCCUAUUGAGGAUAAUUUUAGGUCUGACCUGCCCAAUGAUUUAAAAAUUGAAUGGCCGCGGUAAUUUGACCGUGCAAAGGUAGCAUAAUCAUUAGUUUUUUAAUUGAAAGCUUGUAUGAAAGGUUUGAUGAAAAAAUGACUGUCUCAAUUUAAAUUAAUUAGAAUUUUAUUUUUAAGUAAAAAAGCUUAAAUUUUCAUAGAAGACGAGAAGACCCUAUAGAGUUUUAUAAUUAUAAGUAUGAAGAAAUUUUAGAAUUAUGAUUUUUUAUUUUAUUGAUUAUUUAAUUGGGGUGAUAAAAAAAUUAGAUAAACUUUUUUUGUAUAAGUACAUUGAUUUAUGAAAACUUGAUCCUUUAUUUAAGAUUAAAAGAUAAAAUUACCUUAGGGAUAACAGCGUAAUUUUUUUUAGAAGUUCAAAUUUAAAAAAAAGAUUGCGACCUCGAUGUUGGAUUAAAAGGAAUUAUUGGUGUAGAAGCUAAUAAAUUAGGUCUGUUCGACCUUUAAAAUUUUACAUGAUCUGAGUUUAAACCGGUGUGAG
This 539-nucleotide ribosomal RNA is filed under the name Cryptorhynchinae gen. sp. ARC5243. Its description in RNAcentral is "partial 16S large subunit ribosomal RNA". It matches the Rfam family "Bacterial large subunit ribosomal RNA", at positions 1819 to 2625 of the family's 2925-position model. Lineage: Eukaryota; Metazoa; Arthropoda; Insecta; Coleoptera; Curculionidae. The record is from RNAcentral.